RNAcentral lists this ribosomal RNA (481 nucleotides) under uncultured bacterium. RNAcentral's name for it is "bacterial SSU rRNA". It matches the Rfam family "Bacterial small subunit ribosomal RNA", at positions 28 to 501 of the family's 1533-position model. The record is from RNAcentral.
GAUGAACGCUAGCGGCAGGCUUAAUACAUGCAAGUCGAGGGGCAGCAUGAGUGUAGCAAUACAUUUGAUGGCGACCGGCAAACGGGUGCGGAACACGUACAGAACCUUCCUUCGAGCGGGGAAUAGCCCAGAGAAAUUUGGAUUAAUACCCCAUAGUAUAACAGAGUGGCAUCACUUUGUUAUUAAAGAUUUAUCACUUGAAGAUGGCUGUGCGGCUGAUUAGAUAGUUGGCGGGGUAACGGCCCACCAAGUCUGCGAUCAGUAACUGGUGUGAGAGCACGACCAGUCACACGGGCACUGAGACACGGGCCCGACUCCUACGGGAGGCAGCAGUAAGGAAUAUUGGUCAAUGGACGAAAGUCUGAACCAGCCAUGCCGCGUGGAGGAUGAAGGCCCUCUGGGUUGUAAACUUCUUUUAUAUGGGACGAAAAGGACCUUUCUAGGUCAACUGACGGUACCAUGUGAAUAAGCACCGGCUAAC